GUUUUGGGGUGAUGCACGAGGGAGCUGAAGCCUCUGUGGGUGCUUAGCGCUGCCCUGAGCAUGGAGGCACUACCAUGUCACGGAGCAGUUCUUGCAGUCAAGUUGGCUCUGCUGAAUUAGAGCAGAAGAUGGGAGGAAGGUCUUGGGUAAUCCUCUGUCCCUGUGGGACUUGUUCUGUUGUCUGGUGCUGAGUCCUAAGAAAGCUCUGCUGUUCAGAGGACUUGGCACAGGAAAGCACUGCAAAGACCAAACUAGAAAGCCUACAGGGGAAUGAAUCUCUCCACUGUGCUCUGGAGAAAGGAGAAGAGGUCCUUUGUGGAGUCAAUAACCUUCAGAAAACAAGCCAUGGUGGCUAAGAUAGACUUCUGCUCUGAGGCAUCAUUCAGAAGAACUUGUUUCUUUUUACUGAUGACAGAGUAAAUCGUGGAUUAUUAGAAGAGAAGACGGAACUUAAAAAUUGUGAAUAACUGCCUCAGUCUAAUCUUUCAGUUUAAAUGUAGUCUUGUCUUUGGUUGUACAUUUUUUGUGAAUGCAAGUCUUUUCAAUUUUAAAAGUAUUUUUCUCUUCUAGACACCUGUAGGCAAGAUAGCUUUGCAAGGUGAGAAAAACUCAGUCCUGAAAUUCACCUCCAACUUCCAGAGCUGAUAAGUGAUUUUAUUUAUUCAUUAUUUGUGUUGUUCUUUUGCCUGAGUCAUUCUGUUUCUCCUACAUGUCCACCACAAGUUAUGAUCACCUUUUAUUUUUUCGCAGGACUUGCUAGUAUUUCAACUCACUUUAUUUUGGGAUAUUACAACUAAUACAGCCUAGCAAAUAGAUUACAGAACAUGUUGUAAGAUCUUUCCAGUCAAUGGAUGUUUUCUCUUACACUGAACUCCCCAGUGUUGGGGUUCAGAAGGACAAGAACAUGGGGAAUUGCACAAACUGCAACAUCUCCAAAGUAGGUGGUGCCACUUUGUCUGCUAGAAAACCAUUUUUUGCCACAUGAUAUACAUGCAGCAUUCUUGUUGCAUGCAUUUAUUAAGUUUCUGCAAAAAUUCAGACUCCGUUGCAAUAAAACAUGGCUGAUUUAUAUACAGAAGAAGCUGGGAGCAGAGACAAAUAGAGGUCAAACCAGAACUUGCAUUUGCAGUAUUUUUAGAGAAGAGGAAUUGCAGUCUAUUGUAAAAUGGACAAAUGUCUCAGUAACUUUGUAUAAGCCAACAAUCACUUACCACACAGGUUAAAAUAGUUUUUCUGCACAAUUGCCCAGCAGAGCUAACAAAGCUGAAUCUGCAGUCCUGAGAGUCAGAGGAGGAAAUAAAAUCCCUGUCUAUUAAAAAGAUACAGCUGUAUAUGGAAGAUACAAAGAGAUGUUAAAUGAAGGUCUGUGCCACUGAAUGUAUGUUUUUAGUGAUAUAUUUUUAAAUCCAGUUAAAUUACAAGAGCAGAAUUUUCCUAAUCCAGUAAUAAAGGACUCUGGUACAGAGUAGAGUACAGAAAUGCCAUUUAACCAUUUGUUACUGUAAAGAUUUUCUUUCUUGAGUAAAUGUUUUUAAAAAAUGAAGUCAGUGGAAUUGUGCCUCACAAGAGGAGGGGAAAAACCAUUAAUAAACGUCCACAGAAGAUUUUCAAGGCUCCACAACAAAGGCUGCAGCCACUGCCUUAAGAACUAUGAAAGCAAUAAAGUAGGUGAAAAAGUGAGUUUUGCUGCCAUGCAAGUAUAACUGGGGGAAGUAGAAUCCUUUACAUUACAACAUUUAUAUAUUCUUGUUGGCUUUACCCUACUGGCUAUGCAACUGGUUGCUACUGGUUGAUGUGGGACAAGUUCAGUGUAGCUUUAGGGUAGAAAGGAGUGGCUGUCUAGGUUCUCCAGGUAUCCUCUUUGGUCUAGGGGGAAGUUAACAUGUUUUGUUUAUGUCGUCCGCAAGACUGGUGCUGAAGGCUUUCUCUAUUAACUGUAAGUCCCGAAGUGCCCUAUUAAGAUGACUAUAUCAUUCCUCUGCAUGGGGAACUAACUCAAAAUGAGAUCUGGCCCUUGAUUCCUCUGUGUGAGAAAUGCUUUCUGCACCACAAGAUUCUGCUUCCAGAACAGAACCUGAACAGGCUGCGGCAUGGGGAAUCUGGCUGGCCAUGGUUGUAAUUGCAACUUCUAAUCAAAUGUUUUACACAGCUUGGGUGAAUCAGCAAAUAAUAUCAAAAAUCAAUAUUGUGCCACUUCUUACAGCUGCAAGCAUGGUAAAAAUGUUUAUUAACUUUUCAGUAGUUCUAACUGGGAAGAAAGGAGCUUUUUACAUCCAAAAUACCAAAUAGUUGGUAUCCACUGUAGAGAGAUUUCUACUAUUAUAUUCUUGGAUCAGAAUUAGAGGUAAUUGUAGCACUGUCCAAUGAUAAAAAACAGCUGACAGGGGUGUUUCAA
Molecule: long non-coding RNA, 2395 nt
Organism: Cygnus olor (mute swan)
Lineage: Eukaryota; Metazoa; Chordata; Aves; Anseriformes; Anatidae
Exons: 4
Source: RefSeq, a predicted model, not a curated record